GUCUGCAUUUGGGAGCAGGGACCUCGGUGAGACAGAGGGGUACCAUGAGAUUUCCAAACUCCAGUCCUCAGUCUGCAGCCUGGAGGAGGGAGCUGGAGCAAACGAGGGCAGUGCCCCUCUGGAGGAGCAGGACGCCUUCGAGGUGUUGGAUUAGGGAGGACGCAAGACAGGAGGAGCAGAGACCUCGGCCAAGGCAUCUGUCAGCUCCCUCUGGAGAAGUCCUGCUGGCUCCCAAUUUGCCAUUUCUGGCGUCCUGACACCAGUGCUUCAAGAGGACGUCUCUGUGGUCUGUGAGCUCCUAGAGGUGCGGAUCACUGCUGGCUUCUCCUGGAGCUGCCACAGGUCCCCAGGCAGAAGCAGUCUCCCCAAGCCCCUGCUCCAUCGCUUGCAUGAGCUGGUUUCUCUCCGGGAUGUCUGGUGGCACUGCUGAGCUGUCCAAAAUCAGCUGGGGCACUGCAGGUACAGCCUUGUCUGUGGCUUCCUUCUGGGGACGGGAGCUCGCUUUUGGCUUAGAGCAUCUGAUGAGAAACAAGCCAGAUACCAACGCCUGCGACUGCUGCCUUGGCUCUUGCUGAAAGAAACAGUCGGAGAAAGGUCCCCGUUGUCCCCACCUCCAGGCAG
Long non-coding RNA from Egretta garzetta (little egret), 621 nucleotides. RefSeq lists it as uncharacterized. The record is from RefSeq and is a predicted model, not a curated record. Lineage: Eukaryota; Metazoa; Chordata; Aves; Pelecaniformes; Ardeidae. The transcript has 3 exons.